Molecule: ribosomal RNA, 385 nt
Filed under: uncultured bacterium
Lineage: Bacteria
Description: bacterial SSU rRNA
Rfam family: Bacterial small subunit ribosomal RNA
Source: RNAcentral
GACGAACGCUGGCGGCGUGCUUAGCACAUGCAAGUGGAGCGACGAACCGGGGCUUGCCCCGGGGCAGAGCCGCGAACGGGUGAGUAACACGUGGGUUACCUGCCCCAAUGACCGGGACAACCCGAGGAAACUCGGGCUAAUACCGGAUGUGGUCUUCGGACGAAAGGAAGCUUCGGCCUCCGCAUUGGGAUGGGCCCGCGGCGCAUUAGCUAGUUGGUGGGGUAACGGCCUACCAAGGCGACGAUGCGAGCUGGUCUGAGAGGACGAUCAGCCACACUGGGACUGAGACACGGCCCAGACUCCUACGGGAGGCAGCAGUGGGGAAUCUUGCGCAAUGCGCGAAAGCGUGACGCAGCAACGCCGCGUGGGGAAGAAGGCCUCGGUU